CCCCUGCUCCCUCUACUCUUUCUUCUUCGAGAUGAAGAAAACCCUAACUUCAAAACACUAGUCACCAGCUUCACUUUCUGUUUCCCUCUCUCGUGACCGAGCAGCGGCGAUCGGAGAAGCUCCGAUGAACACCCACCUAAACCCACCUCCUCUCUUUCACACUCUUACACUGUAACCCCUCUCUCCCCCUCGCGACAGACCGGCAGCGACGAGAUCUCCGACAAACCCACAUCCACUCUGUCUCGUUUUCUCCGACACCGACACCGGCAACGACACCCCCCCACUGUCUCUUGCAACUCCGACGACCAGAGUAUACGUCAGCCAUUAAUCGGAGAGGUGACUAUGAUGAUGAUGAUACGAUCACGAUGAUCAUGAUAGGCUGAUGUUGGUGAUAGAUUGAUAUGAUAACAGAGAUGUUGGUGGCGGAUCGGAGGCGCCGACGACUGUGAGGCGCCGUUUUUCCGAAAACGCCGCCGCCGGCGGUGGUCGAGCCGGCCAACAACAGUAGUAGGCGUGGUGGCCAAAGUCAGAUUUCAGCUCAGGCUUCAGCUCACCACGGUGCAAUUCAGGUCAGUUCCGAGUUUUGGUUUGGGCCUCGGUCAAAAUAGGUCAACUGUUAGUCAACAGGUCAACACCAGUCAAACAUCAUCUCGGGUCACUUUCAAGCAUGCGGUUUAGUUUGGUUCGGGUUCGGUUCACUUCAAAUUUGUUUCGGUUCAACCGAUCCAGAUUCGGUUCAGUCAACACGGGUCUAGGUUCGAGUCAACUCAAUCAAACGGGGUGACCCGGUCAACACUCGGUCAACAGCAGUCAACGCCCGGUCAACUCACGAGACCCGAUGCACGCUAGCUAAUUCACGUUCUUGGAACGGCACUACGGAAUCACACUAAGCUAGCUUUGCACAGGAAUAUCCAGGUUAAAUUUUUCAAACUACGGAACGGUUGGAAUAGGAGAACCCAUGGGAUUUCGAGCACUUAACAGGCGUUCAAUUUCUAGAAGUCUUAGCAUUAUUAGCUUCCGCUGUGCAAUGAAGAUACCGGUCCAGUCACGCCAGCUCUAUAUUUCGGGGUGUGACACAACUGUCCGCUGGAACUAAACCAGCCACUGGUUUGCAGAGACUAGAAUACACUAGAUUUGUAACUCUUUUCAGGAUGUGAACCGAUUGAGAGCAGGAUCUGGUCGGGAUUUGUCAGAUCUACCCAAAUCCUGAAAGUGAGGCGUUGUUUGUUCCGACCAAACCACCUCCCACCACCGUCAUCUGCCACCGACCACCACCUCCCCACCACCGUCUUCCCCACCAACCACCACCCCACCACGGUCUUGAACAUGAUUCUGUGUGUUUGAAGAUGAGAGAUGAGGGUUUCAGUAGAGAGAGUAGAGAGAGAUGAUUGAAGUUGCAGGUUUGAUUUUGAAUGAGGGGUUCAAUGGCGAUUGGCCGGAGACGAUGAGGGUGGGUGACCGAGAGCUUAAAAGGAAGUUGCAAGUUUGAUUUUGAAUGAGGGGUUCAACCACCACCCUUUUCUCUCAUGAAGAUGAAGGUGGUGUUUUGAGACAAAUGAAGAAGACAGAGGUUUUAAAAAGGGGGAGAGAGAGAUGGUGAGCAUUAAAUAAAGAGAGAGAGAGGGUGUGAAUUAAAUGAAGAGAGAGGGUGGGAUUAGACAUUUGGGGUAAAUGACCAAACUACCCUUUUCGUUGGCAAAAUAUGAUUGGUGGAGAGUGGUUCUCAUGGUUCUUACAACUGGAGGUAACAAAAUGUGAAAGCCAAAUAGAAGCCAGCUGGACAGCACUGAAGGCUUGGAAAAGUGGCAAUAGAGUUACCUAAAAGAAAUAGAUGUUUUUCUUAAAUAAAAAUAGGAUUUGUUCCUAUGAAAAUGUGUGUACUGAAAACUUGGUUUUACCCAUGUGUUUAAUGUUAUGGAAAUGUGGUAUU
Molecule: long non-coding RNA, 1930 nt
Filed under: Helianthus annuus (common sunflower)
Lineage: Eukaryota; Viridiplantae; Streptophyta; Magnoliopsida; Asterales; Asteraceae
Description: hypothetical non coding rna
Source: RNAcentral